Molecule: ribosomal RNA, 247 nt
Filed under: uncultured bacterium
Lineage: Bacteria
Description: partial 16S ribosomal RNA
Rfam family: Bacterial small subunit ribosomal RNA
Source: RNAcentral
CACGCUGUAAACGAUGUCGAUUUGGAGUCUGUGCCAUUAUGAGCGUGGGUUCCGAAGCUAACGCGAUAAAUCGACCGCCUGGGGAGUACGGCCGCAAGGUUAAAACUCAAAUGAAUUGACGGGGGCCCGCACAAGCGGUGGAGCAUGUGGUUUAAUUCGAUGCAACGCGAAGAACCUUACCUGGCCUUGACAUGCUGAGAAGUCUGUAGAGAUACGGAUGUGCCUUCGGGAACUCAGACACAGGUGC